This is a long non-coding RNA of Onychomys torridus (southern grasshopper mouse), 265 nucleotides long. RefSeq lists it as uncharacterized. The transcript is spliced from 3 exons. NCBI's taxonomy places the organism in Eukaryota, Metazoa, Chordata, Mammalia, Rodentia, Cricetidae. The record is from RefSeq and is a predicted model, not a curated record.
UGCCUUCCUUACAUACUGCGCCAGGGACUCCGCCAUCAAAGCUCAGACAGCCUUGCACGAACAGAAGACCCUGCCGGGGAUGGCGCGGCCGAUCCAGGUGAAGCCGGCGGACAGUGAGAGCCGUGGAGGUAGGGACCGGAAGCUGUUCGUGGGCAUGCUCAACAAGCAGCAGUCGGAGGAAGACGUGCUCAGGCUCUUCCAGCCCUUUGGGGUCAUCGACGAAUGCACAGUGCUGCGAGGACCCGACGGGAGCAGCAAAGGUGAG